AUGUCACCAAGUACCACGACAAACCGUGAAGUUCCACAAAUACUAAGUACUGCUACCCUCGACCUGAACGUCUACGAACGGUGCACGACGCCCGGAGCCCUCAGAUCCAUCAAGUUCGAUUACCUUCGUGUGUACCACUACCGUCGCCCUGAAGACGUUGGAGUCAUCAAGUACCUCUCCGAACUAACGUGA
RNAcentral lists this ribosomal RNA (192 nucleotides) under Triticum aestivum (bread wheat). RNAcentral's name for it is "partial small subunit ribosomal RNA". The record is from RNAcentral. Lineage: Eukaryota; Viridiplantae; Streptophyta; Magnoliopsida; Poales; Poaceae.